AAUUCCAGUACCACCGUGAACCGUUAUGAGCAAUGGGGUGACGCAGAAGGGGAAAGAUGCAGACGGAUGGAAGUGUCUGUGCAAGCAGUGAGGCUAAAGUGUAGGCAAAUCAGCACUUUGUUAGGCUAGGCUGUGAUGCGGAGGGAAAAUUACAGUACCGAAGAUCAUGUACUCAAGCUGCCAAGAAAAGCCUCUAGCCAGGGAGAAGGUGCCCGUACCGCAAACCGACACAGGUGGGCGAGAAGAGUAUUCUAAGGCGCGCGGAACAACUCUCGUUAAGGAACUCGGCAAAAUGCCCCCGUAACUUCGGGAGAAGGGGGGCCCCCAUCGUGAUGGACACUUGCUGUCCGGAGCGUGCAGGGGCCGCAGAGACCAGGGGGAAGCGACUGUUUACUAAAAACACAGGUCCGUGCGAAGUCGCAAGACGAUGUAUACGGACUGACUCCUGCCCGGUGCUGGAAGGUUAAGAGGACCGGUUAGCCGCAAGGCGAAGCUGAGAAUUCAAGCCCCAGUAAACGGCGGUGGUAACUAUAACCAUCCUAAGGUAGCGAAAUUCCUUGUCGGGUAAGUUCCGACCUGCACGAAUGGAGUAACGACUUCCCCGCUGUCUCAACCAUAAACUCGGCGAAAUUGCAGUACGAGUAAAGAUGCUCGUUACGCGCAGCAGGACGGAAAGACCCCGAGACCUUUACUAUAGUUUGGUAUUGGUGUUCGGAGUGGCUUGUGUAGGAUAGGUGGGAGACGUUGAAGCCCGGACGCCAGUUCGGGUGGAGUCAUCGUUGAAAUACCACUCUGGUCACUUUGGACAUCUAACUUCGGCCCGUAAUCCGGGUCAGGGACAGUGCCUGAUGGGUAGUUUAACUGGGGCGGUUGCCUCCUAAAAAGUAACGGAGGCGCCCAAAGGUUCCCUCAGCCUGGUUGGCAAUCAGGUGUCGAGUGUAAGUGCACAAGGGAGCUUGACUGUGAGAGAGACAUCUCGAGCAGGGACGAAAGUCGGGACUAGUGAUCCGGCGGUACAUUGUGGAAUGGCCGUCGCUCAACGGAUAAAAGGUACCUCGGGGAUAACAGGCUGAUCUUGCCCAAGAGUCCAUAUCGACGGCAUGGUUUGGCACCUCGAUGUCGGCUCGUCGCAUCCUGGGGCUGGAGUAGGUCCCAAGGGUUGGGCUGUUCGCCCAUUAAAGCGGUACGCGAGCUGGGUUCAGAACGUCGUGAGACAGUUCGGUCCCUAUCUGUCGUGGGCGCAGGAAAUUUGAGAGGAGCUGUCCUUAGUACGAGAGGACCGGGAUGGACGUUCCGCUGGUGUACCAGUUGUUCCGCCAGGAGCAUCGCUGGGUAGCCAAGAACGGACGGGAUAAGCGCUGAAAGCAUCUAAGCGUGAAGCCCCCCUCAAGAUGAGAUUUCCCAGUAUGUAAGACCCCUUGAAGACCACGAGGUUGAUAGGUUUGAGGUGGAAGCGCAGCAAUGUGUGGAGCUGACAAAUACUAAUCGGUCGAGGGCUUACCCCA
RNAcentral lists this ribosomal RNA (1505 nucleotides) under sediment metagenome. RNAcentral describes it as "bacterial LSU rRNA". It matches the Rfam family "Bacterial large subunit ribosomal RNA", at positions 1434 to 2925 of the family's 2925-position model. The record is from RNAcentral.